This 2899-nucleotide ribosomal RNA is filed under the name Klebsiella pneumoniae. RNAcentral describes it as "23S ribosomal RNA". It matches the Rfam family "Bacterial large subunit ribosomal RNA". The record is from RNAcentral. Lineage: Bacteria; Pseudomonadati; Pseudomonadota; Gammaproteobacteria; Enterobacterales; Enterobacteriaceae.
GGUUAAGCGACUAAGCGUACACGGUGGAUGCCCUGGCAGUCAGAGGCGAUGAAGGACGUGCUAAUCUGCGAAAAGCGUCGGUAAGGUGAUAUGAACCGUUAUAACCGGCGAUGUCCGAAUGGGGAAACCCAGUGCAAUUCGUUGCACUAUCGUUAACUGAAUACAUAGGUUAACGAGGCGAACCGGGGGAACUGAAACAUCUAAGUACCCCGAGGAAAAGAAAUCAACCGAGAUUCCCCCAGUAGCGGCGAGCGAACGGGGAGCAGCCCAGAGUCUGAAUCAGCUUGUGUGUUAGUGGAACGGUCUGGAAAGUCCGACGGUACAGGGUGAUAGUCCCGUACACCAAAAUGCACAGGUUGUGAACUCGAAGAGUAGGGCGGGACACGUGGUAUCCUGUCUGAAUAUGGGGGGACCAUCCUCCAAGGCUAAAUACUCCUGACUGACCGAUAGUGAACCAGUACCGUGAGGGAAAGGCGAAAAGAACCCCGGCGAGGGGAGUGAAAAAGAACCUGAAACCGUGUACGUACAAGCAGUGGGAGCACCUUCGGGUGUGACUGCGUACCUUUGUAUAAUGGGUCAGCGACUUAUAUUCUGUAGCAAGGUUAACCGUAUAGGGGAGCCGCAGGAAACCGAGUCUUAACUGGGCGUUAAGUUGCAGGGUAUAGACCCGAAACCCGGUGAUCUAGCCAUGGGCAGGUUGAAGGUUGGGUAACACUAACUGGAGGACCGAACCGACUAAUGUUGAAAAAUUAGCGGAUGACUUGUGGCUGGGGGUGAAAGGCCAAUCAAACCGGGAGAUAGCUGGUUCUCCCCGAAAGCUAUUUAGGUAGCGCCUCGUGAACUCAUCUUCGGGGGUAGAGCACUGUUUCGGCUAGGGGUCAUCCCGACUUACCAACCCGAUGCAAACUACGAAUACCGAAGAAUGUUAUCACGGGAGACACACGGCGGGUGCUAACGUCCGUCGUGAAGAGGGAAACAACCCAGACCGCCAGCUAAGGUCCCAAAGUCAUGGUUAAGUGGGAAACGAUGUGGGAAGGCACAGACAGCCAGGAUGUUGGCUUAGAAGCAGCCAUCAUUUAAAGAAAGCGUAAUAGCUCACUGGUCGAGUCGGCCUGCGCGGAAGAUGUAACGGGGCUAAACCAUGCACCGAAGCUGCGGCAGCGACACUAUGUGUUGUUGGGUAGGGGAGCGUUCUGUAAGCCUGCGAAGGUGACCUGUGAGGGUUGCUGGAGGUAUCAGAAGUGCGAAUGCUGACAUAAGUAACGAUAAAGCGGGUGAAAAGCCCGCUCGCCGGAAGACCAAGGGUUCCUGUCCAACGUUAAUCGGGGCAGGGUGAGUCGACCCCUAAGGCGAGGCCGAAAGGCGUAGUCGAUGGGAAACAGGUUAAUAUUCCUGUACUUGGUGUUACUGCGAAGGGGGGACGGAGAAGGCUAUGUUAGCCGGGCGACGGUUGUCCCGGUUUAAGCAUGUAGGCUGGUUGUCCAGGCAAAUCCGGAUAAUCAAGGCUGAGGUGUGAUGACGAGGCACUACGGUGCUGAAGUAACAAAUGCCCUGCUUCCAGGAAAAGCCUCUAAGCAUCAGGUAACAUUAAAUCGUACCCCAAACCGACACAGGUGGUCAGGUAGAGAAUACCAAGGCGCUUGAGAGAACUCGGGUGAAGGAACUAGGCAAAAUGGUGCCGUAACUUCGGGAGAAGGCACGCUGGUGUGUAGGUGAAGCCCCUGCGGGUGGAGCUGAGACCAGUCGAAGAUACCAGCUGGCUGCAACUGUUUAUUAAAAACACAGCACUGUGCAAACACGAAAGUGGACGUAUACGGUGUGACGCCUGCCCGGUGCCGGAAGGUUAAUUGAUGGGGUUAUCCGUAAGGAGAAGCUCUUGAUCGAAGCCCCGGUAAACGGCGGCCGUAACUAUAACGGUCCUAAGGUAGCGAAAUUCCUUGUCGGGUAAGUUCCGACCUGCACGAAUGGCGUAAUGAUGGCCAGGCUGUCUCCACCCGAGACUCAGUGAAAUUGAACUCGCUGUGAAGAUGCAGUGUACCCGCGGCAAGACGGAAAGACCCCGUGAACCUUUACUAUAGCUUGACACUGAACAUUGAGCCUUGAUGUGUAGGAUAGGUGGGAGGCUUUGAAGCGUGGACGCCAGUCUGCGUGGAGCCAACCUUGAAAUACCACCCUUUAAUGUUUGAUGUUCUAACGUUGGCCCCUUACCGGGGUUGCGGACAGUGUCUGGUGGGUAGUUUGACUGGGGCGGUCUCCUCCUAAAGCGUAACGGAGGAGCACGAAGGUUAGCUAAUCCUGGUCGGACAUCAGGAGGUUAGUGCAAUGGCAUAAGCUAGCUUGACUGCGAGCGUGACGGCGCGAGCAGGUGCGAAAGCAGGUCAUAGUGAUCCGGUGGUUCUGAAUGGAAGGGCCAUCGCUCAACGGAUAAAAGGUACUCCGGGGAUAACAGGCUGAUACCGCCCAAGAGUUCAUAUCGACGGCGGUGUUUGGCACCUCGAUGUCGGCUCAUCACAUCCUGGGGCUGAAGUAGGUCCCAAGGGUAUGGCUGUUCGCCAUUUAAAGUGGUACGCGAGCUGGGUUUAGAACGUCGUGAGACAGUUCGGUCCCUAUCUGCCGUGGGCGCUGGAGAAUUGAGGGGGGCUGCUCCUAGUACGAGAGGACCGGAGUGGACGCAUCACUGGUGUUCGGGUUGUCAUGCCAAUGGCACUGCCCGGUAGCUAAAUGCGGAAGAGAUAAGUGCUGAAAGCAUCUAAGCACGAAACUUGCCCCGAGAUGAGUUCUCCCUGAGACUUUAAGUCUCCUGAAGGAACGUUGAAGACGACGACGUUGAUAGGCCGGGUGUGUAAGCGCAGCGAUGCGUUGAGCUAACCGGUACUAAUGAACCGUGAGGCUUAACCUU